This 1428-nucleotide ribosomal RNA is filed under the name uncultured organism. RNAcentral describes it as "SSU rRNA". It matches the Rfam family "Bacterial small subunit ribosomal RNA". The record is from RNAcentral.
CGCUAGCUACGGGCUUAACACAUGCAAGUCGAGGGGUUUCAUUUCGCUAGCAAUAGUGAAGAUGGCGACCGGCGCACGGGUGAGUAACACGUAUCCAACCUGCCGAUAACUCGGGGAUAGCCUUUCGAAAGAAAGAUUAAUAUCCGAUGGUAUAUUAAGAUCGCAUGGUUUUACUAUUAAAGAAUUUCGGUUAUCGAUGGGGAUGCGUUCCAUUAGUUCGUUGGCGGGGUAACGGCCCACCAAGACUACAAUGGAGAGGGGUUCUGAGAGGAAGGUCCCCCACAUUGGAACUGACACACGGUCCAAACUCCUACGGGAGGCAGCAGUGAGGAAUAUUACUCAAUGGGCGAGAGCCUGAACCAGCCAAGUAUCGUGAAGGAUGAAGGCUCUAUGGGUCGUAAACUUCUUUUAUAUGGGAAUAAAGUUUUCCACGUGUGGAAUUUUGUAUGUACCAUAUGAAUAACGAUCGGCGAACUCCGGGCCCAGCAGCCGCGGGUAAUUCGGAGGGAUCCGAGCGUUAUUCGGGAUUUAUUGGGGUUAAAAGGAAGCGUAGGUGGAUUGUUAAGUCAGUGGUGAAAGUUUGCGGGUCAACCGUAAAAUUGCAGUUGAAACUGGCAGUCUUGAGUACAGUAGAGGUGGGCGGAAUUGGUGGUGUAGCGGUGAAAUGCUUAGAUAUCACGAAGAACUCCGAUUGCGAAGGCAGCUCACUAGACUGUCACUGACACUGAUGCUCGAAAGUGUGGGUAUCAAACAGGAUUAGAUACCCUGGUAGUCCACACAGUAAACGAUGAAUACUCGCUGUUUGCGAUAUACAGUAAGCGGCCAAGCGAAAGCAUUAAGUAUUCCACCUGGGGAGUACGCCGGCAACGGUGAAACUCAAAGGAAUUGACGGGGGCCCGCACAAGCGGAGGAACAUGUGGUUUAAUUCGAUGAUACGCGAGGAACCUUACCCGGGCUUAAAUUGCAACAGAAUAUAUUGGAAACAGUAUAGCCGUAAGGCUGUUGUGAAGGUGCUGCAUGGUUGUCGUCAGCUCGUGCCGUGAGGUGUCGGCUUAAGUGCCAUAACGAGCGCAACCCUUAUCUUUAGUUACUAACAGGUGAUGCUGAGGACUCUAGAGAGACUGCCGUCGUAAGAUGUGAGGAAGGUGGGGAUGACGUCAAAUCAGCACGGCCCUUACGUCCGGGGCCACACACGUGUUACAAUGGGGGGUACAGAAGGCGGCUACCUGGUGACAGGAUGCUAAUCCCAAAAACCUCUCUCAGUUCGGAUCGAAGUCUGCAACCCGACUUCGUGAAGCUGGAUUCGCUAGUAAUCGCGCAUCAGCCAUGGCGCGGUGAAUACGUUCCCGGGCCUUGUACACACCGCCCGUCAAGCCAUGAAAGCCGGGGGUACCUGAAGUACGUAACCGCAAGGAGCGUCCUAGGGUA